AGAAAACCGAUUAGAAGAUGAGUAAUACUCCUAACUUUUGAAGAGAGUCGCGGCAGGUGAGAAGCGGUAAAGGGCGAGUGUGAAGAUGGUCUUCCAUUAAGCAGGGUAUUCGAGCGCAAGUAAGAAUAUCAUGGGUGUGCCCAUUACAGCACGCGGGUAUUAUAGGUACCCAGUGAGGAAAUCAGUGCGAGCUGGUUUCGAAUUAAGGUGGUAACACGGGAAAAAGUCCGUCCUUUAC
Molecule: non-coding RNA, 238 nt
Filed under: Secundilactobacillus silagei
Lineage: Bacteria; Bacillati; Bacillota; Bacilli; Lactobacillales; Lactobacillaceae
Description: Lactobacillus silagei T-box sequence
Rfam family: T-box leader
About the family: Uncharged tRNA acts as the effector for transcription antitermination of genes in the T-box leader family. T-boxes are found upstream of many aminoacyl-tRNA synthetase genes and some amino acid biosynthetic genes usually in Gram-positive bacteria.
Source: RNAcentral